UACGUAGGAGACGAGCGUUGUCCGGAGUUACUGGGCGUAAAGGGUGCGCAGGUGGCGGCGCGCGUGGGGGGUGAAAUCGCCCGGCUUAACUGGGCGGGGGCCUUCCAGACGGCGUGGCUUGAGCAGCGGAGGGGGACGUGGAAUUCCGGGUGGAGCGGUGAAAUGCGUAGAUAUCAGGAGGAACACCGGUGGUGUAGACGGCUUUCUGGACCGUAACUGACGCUGAGACACGAAAGCGUGGGUAGCAAACAGG
RNAcentral lists this ribosomal RNA (253 nucleotides) under uncultured bacterium. RNAcentral describes it as "partial 16S ribosomal RNA". It matches the Rfam family "Bacterial small subunit ribosomal RNA", at positions 524 to 776 of the family's 1533-position model. The record is from RNAcentral.